Dermacentor albipictus is the source of this 972-nucleotide long non-coding RNA. RefSeq lists it as uncharacterized. The record is from RefSeq and is a predicted model, not a curated record. NCBI's taxonomy places the organism in Eukaryota, Metazoa, Arthropoda, Arachnida, Ixodida, Ixodidae.
GUUUUCCAUACAGGGCGCGCACACGACGCCUGGAAACCAUUCUAUGCUCGCGCAGCAGCAGGAGCGAAAUGCCGGUGUUGCACAGCGGUGUCACAGAGCCACCGCGCUGCGACCACUUCGGCGGCACAAUCCAAAUUUGUCGGACAUCUCAUUCUGUGCUGGAAACACUGGGAGGCAGGAAGUUUGAAAAAAAACGGCCACUCCCGCCCGCAAUGUCUCGGUCGUGGGUUCGUUAUGCCAGUUGUUCAAGCCGUUCUGUACAUUUAUACUGGAUAUUAACUGGAGUCAUUCAGCUGUGCUGAUGCUGUUUGCCGUGUGUUUUGCAUCAGUGCUUCGUGACAUCGGCUGUAUUGCGUGUUUUCGCCGACGGCUUACUACCACAAUGGCGGGAUCUGCGUUCGCCGCCUUCGUGUCUCGGUGCGUCUUUGUACGUCGCACGUUCAACACUUUUUCCGAUGGCUGGACAUCCUUCUUGUACCUUGGCGCUAGCUGGAUGACGGGACCUCAUCAUGAUCAGUGUAUUGCUUUCCUAUGUCUACAAGAACCGUCAUGGGUGGCCUGUGACAGCAAGCUUUUGUGGGCAGCCAGUGCUCUCCUACGAAGGCUGGCCUACUCUGGCAGCGGCGGCAAUCAUCUUCAAGAUUUAUCGAUGAUCACCUUUGCUGCGAUUUGUCACUCUUCUUAAUUACACUUUCUGCAUCUUUUCUAAUCUAUUAAGUAAUAAAGUAUGAGUAUGUGACAUGGUGUGAAGUUGAUGCCUUGCUGCAUUUUAGCUUGCAAUCACCUUUUAUGCAUGAAAAGCUCAUCAUACAAUUUAUGAAAAAAAAAAUAACAGCAUAUUAUGAUUUAUCUUUCAGUAUCUUGUAACAUGCAACAUACAAGGAAUUCACUAAUGGAUGGUAUGCCGAAGAACUGGCCAUUAUUUCUGCGUGAUGCUGUGCAAGCAUUUGGCGUUACCUUACAAGAGGCACC